AAAGACCUUAUGCUUUUGGAGCGGCCGAUGUCUGAUUAGCUAGUUGGUGAGGUAAAUGCUUACCAAGGCGACGAUCAGUAGUUGGUCUGAGAGGACGACCAGCCACACUGGGACUGAGACACGGCCCAGACUCCUACGGGAGGCAGCAGUGGGGAAUUUUGGACAAUGGGCGCAAGCCUGAUCCAGCAAUGCCGUGUGAGUGAAGAAGGCCUUCGGGUUGUAAAGCUCUUUCAGUCGAGAAGAAAAGGUUGUGACUAAUACUCACAAUCCAUGACGGUAUCGACAGAAGAAGCACCGGCUAACUACGUGCCAGCAGCCGCGGUAAUACGUAGGGUGCGAGCGUUAAUCGGAAUUACUGGGCGUAAAGGGUGCGCAGGCGGUUCUGUAAGUCAGAUGUGAAAUCCCCGGGCUUAACCUGGGAAUU
This 424-nucleotide ribosomal RNA is filed under the name uncultured Nitrosomonas sp. Its description in RNAcentral is "bacterial SSU rRNA". It matches the Rfam family "Bacterial small subunit ribosomal RNA", at positions 202 to 622 of the family's 1533-position model. Lineage: Bacteria; Pseudomonadati; Pseudomonadota; Betaproteobacteria; Nitrosomonadales; Nitrosomonadaceae. The record is from RNAcentral.